CCUACGGGUCGCAGCAGUGGGGAAUAUUGGGCAAUGGGCGCAAGCCUGACCCAGCGACGCCGCGUGCGGGAUGACGCUUCUCGGAGUGUAAACCGCUGUCAGAGGGGACGAACGGCCCGGGUGGGAAUACUGCCCGGGAUUGACGGUACCCUCAAAGGAAGCGCCGGCUAACUCCGUGCCAGCAGCCGCGGUAAUACGGAGGGCGCAAGCGUUGUUCGGAAUCACUGGGCGUAAAGCGCGCGCAGGCGGGUGUGCAAGUCGGAAGUGAAAUCCCGGGGCUCAACUCCGGGGCUGCUGCUGAUACUGCAUGUCUAGAGACCAGUAGGGGUUGGUGGAAUUCCCGGUGUAGCGGUGGAAUGCGUAGAUAUCGGGAAGAACACCUGUGGCGAAGGCGGCCAACUGGGCUGGAUCUGACGCUGAGGCGCGAAAGCGUGGGGAGCAAACAGGAUUAGAUACCCGUGUAGUC
Molecule: ribosomal RNA, 466 nt
Filed under: uncultured bacterium
Lineage: Bacteria
Description: bacterial SSU rRNA
Rfam family: Bacterial small subunit ribosomal RNA
Source: RNAcentral